UACCAGCACCCCGAGUGGUCGGGACGAUUAUUGGGCCUAAAGCAUCCGUAGCUUGUCCUGCAAGUCUUCCGUUAAAUCCACCUGCUCAACAGAUGGGCCGCGGGGGAUACUACAGGGCUAGGAGGCGGGAGAGGCAAACGGUACUCAGUGGGUAGGGGUAAAAUCCGUUGAUCCAUUGAAGACCACCAGUGGCGAAGGCGGCUUGCCAGAAUGCGCUCGACGGUGAGGGAUGAAAGCUGGGGGAGCAAACCGG
RNAcentral lists this ribosomal RNA (253 nucleotides) under uncultured bacterium. Its description in RNAcentral is "partial 16S ribosomal RNA". It matches the Rfam family "Archaeal small subunit ribosomal RNA", at positions 474 to 727 of the family's 1478-position model. The record is from RNAcentral.